CUGUGGUGACAGCACGUGCUACAGCUGAGUGGCGGUUCGGGUAUCGGGAAAGUGAGUAUAAUAUCGUAGUGGUCGAGUGUUUUUUCCGCUUUUCCCCGUGCGGCUGCGGUAUCAUCGACGCCGACGGUGUUCCCGAGGGACGUCUGGGGUAAAAGUGGUAGGGAAGAAGGAAUGAGCUGCAGGGAUUCUUGGAAGCUGUAUUAGGGUGAAGCUGCAACGCGGGACGAUUGAAGCGGAUUGACGAGCUCAGGUGUUGGUGUUGGUG
Molecule: long non-coding RNA, 265 nt
Organism: Trachymyrmex cornetzi
Lineage: Eukaryota; Metazoa; Arthropoda; Insecta; Hymenoptera; Formicidae
Exons: 3
Source: RefSeq, a predicted model, not a curated record